GGCAGUGCCUCCACUUCACCUGAAACAAAAUUAAGAACCACUACUGGCCACUCAGCUCUGCUCAGUACCACUCUUCCUCAGUCUGGAAGUACCUCAGCAACUUCAACUGGUACAUCACAACCAAGUCAUGCUACUACAAGCACUCUUGCAACCUUCAGUUCUUCUACCAGCACAUCUGUUACAUCCAGCAAAAUAACCCCAUGCUUUUGUCAUGUGUUUGAAACUUUAUUUUCUCCCGGGGAAGUGGUAUA
Molecule: long non-coding RNA, 251 nt
Organism: Parus major (Great Tit)
Lineage: Eukaryota; Metazoa; Chordata; Aves; Passeriformes; Paridae
Exons: 3
Source: RefSeq, a predicted model, not a curated record